CAAAUUAAUUAAUAGUUAAGGAUUUCAUUUACACUGAAAUUGAUGUCGUGCAAUUCGAUAUAGUUUGA
RNAcentral lists this transfer RNA (68 nucleotides) under Rhabdoblatta atra. RNAcentral describes it as "tRNA-Val". The record is from RNAcentral. Lineage: Eukaryota; Metazoa; Arthropoda; Insecta; Blattodea; Blaberidae.